GUCCUUGCCUUAAACUAUGUAUACUUGGUGUAGAGAGGCUCAACCCUUUUUGUACCGUAGCUAACGCGAUAAGUAUACCGCCUGGGGAGUACGCUCGCAAGGGUAAAACUCAAAAGAAUUGACGGGGACCCGCACAAGCAGUGGAGCAUGUGGUUUAAUUCGAUGCAACGCGAAGAACCUUACCUGGACUUGACAUGCUUUUGACCGCUGUAGAAAUACAGUUUUCUCGCAAGAGACAGAAGCACAGGUGCUGCAUGGCUGUCGU
This 265-nucleotide ribosomal RNA is filed under the name uncultured bacterium. Its description in RNAcentral is "partial 16S ribosomal RNA". It matches the Rfam family "Bacterial small subunit ribosomal RNA", at positions 793 to 1055 of the family's 1533-position model. The record is from RNAcentral.